GGGUCCAUAGCUCAACGGCAGAGCGGCCUGCUCAUAACGGGUUGGUUCUUGGUUCGAAUCCAAGUGGACCCA
Molecule: transfer RNA, 72 nt
Filed under: Chloroflexota bacterium
Lineage: Bacteria; Bacillati; Chloroflexota
Description: tRNA-Ile
Rfam family: tRNA
About the family: Transfer RNA (tRNA) molecules are approximately 80 nucleotides in length. Their secondary structure includes four short double-helical elements and three loops (D, anti-codon, and T loops).
Source: RNAcentral